RNAcentral lists this ribosomal RNA (527 nucleotides) under uncultured bacterium. Its description in RNAcentral is "bacterial SSU rRNA". It matches the Rfam family "Bacterial small subunit ribosomal RNA", at positions 355 to 896 of the family's 1533-position model. The record is from RNAcentral.
UGGGGAAUUUUCCGCAAUGGGCGAAAGCUUGACGGAGCAAUGCCGCGUGGAGGUGGAAGGCCCACGGGUCGUCAACUUCUUUUCUCGGAGAAGAAACAAUGACGGUAUCUGAGGAAUAAGCAUCGGCUAACUCUGUGCCAGCAGCCGCGGUAAGACAGAGGAUGCAAGCGUUAUCCGGAAUGAUUGGGCGUAAAGCGUCUGUAGGUGGCUUUUCAAGUCCGCCGUCAAAUCCCAGGGCUCAACCCUGGACAGGCGGUGGAAACUACCAAGCUGGAGUACGGUAGGGGCAGAGGGAAUUUCCGGUGGAGCGGUGAAAUGCAUUGAGAUCGGAAAGAACACCAACGGCGAAAGCACUUUGCUGGGCCGACACUGACACUGAGAGACGAAAGCUAGGGGAGCAAAUGGGAUUAGAGACCCCAGUAGUCCUAGCCGUAAACGAUGGAUACUAGGUGCUGUGCGACUCGACCCGUGCAGUGCUGUAGCUAACGCGUUAAGUAUCCCGCCUGGGGAGUACGUUCGCAAGAAUG